Molecule: long non-coding RNA, 9502 nt
Organism: Serinus canaria (Common canary)
Lineage: Eukaryota; Metazoa; Chordata; Aves; Passeriformes; Fringillidae
Exons: 8
Source: RefSeq, a predicted model, not a curated record
CCACGGAACCGGGCGGCGGGACCGCCGGCUGCCGCCCGUGGGACCGGCGAUCCCGGCGGGCCUGGGGAGCACGCCUCGCCAAACUGCAAAUGAGGGGCAGGGUGUGCUGUCACCGACCCCCCUGAGCGCGCCUCUCUCCAGGGAAAGGAUGGCAUCUCUUCCUUUUCCCACCUAGGGAGGGAGACACGUUUUCCAGGUGCUGUGUGAGUUUUGCCUGGUCUUUCAGAGGAGGGACGGAAAGCUGGUGGUCUCCCGUCUGGAGCACCCCAGGCUCGGCACCCUAGCUGGACCACUGGUCCCACUGUGGGCCACAAUGCCCUGCUAACAAAAUGUGGUGGCAUGGCCAUGGUGCUGAAUGGGAGUCUCCAUGGCAGGGGAUUGUCUGGCAGGGCAGGACCUGGGGACCAGGAGGCAGCCCUUGUUCUUCACAGGGAAGGCCUGGAAGAGGGAGGGCAUUUUGCCAGACUGCCCAGCUUUCAGGAGUUCAGGUAUGAAAUCAGGAAGAGGAGAUGUGCUUCCUAAGAAAAAGUGACUGGAUUUGUUCUGGGCUUCCUGGGGGAUUCUGGGAGAAAAAUGAAGAGGCUUUGCUGCUUUAUGAGGAAGGUGCCCAGGAAGUCUCCAGCUGUGACAAUUUGCAGGGGAACCAUGAGACAUCCCAAUGGGGAGAGUCCCACAUGUCAGGAGGUGUUUGGAGGUGACCCAGGGCAGAAGGCAACCAAGUGGCCUCUGACUCAAGGUUUGAGAGGGACCUGUGAGUUUUGCUUUCAUUAACCUGUGAAUCCUGCUUACAGCAACUGUGGCUGCCAGGCAUCCCUGAACAGGCUUUCCCAGAAAGGCCUGGGAAAGAAACUGUGUCCUCUUGAGUUCUCUGGCUGGGAACAGCGAACUCAUCCCUCAUCCAGGCAGGCUCAGGUUCUCAUGGUCCCUGCCCUAGACUUCCCAAUCACCCUACUGCUCACAGUGAGUUUCCCCCUGUUACUAGGAGAAAAGGUCAAGGGUAUGAUUUUUUUUUCUUUGCACCCUCUCAUGGUGAAUGUGUCUUUCUGCCUGUACCUCAUGGCAUCACCCUCACUCGCCACGGGAAUGUCUGCUCACAUCCAACAUGCCCACAGAUGUCAGGGGGCAACUUGUCUCAGUGAGACCUCAUGCCAGCAAUCCAUGUUGUGCCAGCAGCCUCAGUGCAGCAGCGGGACUCACUCCAUGAGCAUGUGCUCCCUGUGCAGCUUGCCCUGGCCACGCUCACAGUGCUGGCCCCCACAGCCAGCCACAUGCUGCUGUCACCUCUCCUGGUGCGUGUCUGAAGGAGCUGCUCAGUGACCUUGCCCAUCUUAUUCCUGACUUGGUUAGAAAUCAGAAUGCCUGUUUUCCCAGACACACUGCCCCGCGCUGGCACAGCAGUUUUACAAACACUCCAGUGCUUGUGGGUGCUGUUGGAUAUAGUUCUGUGUUGGCAGCGUGGAGGUGCAUCUCCCUUCCCUCACCCAUGUUUCUCCCUUGGCAUUUGUCCCUUGAUUCUUUACCCCGAGGAUGUAUCCCCUGAGCUCUUUGCCAUUGGUCUGGCAGCAAUUCCAGUCCCCUCUGACUAUCUUGCCCAUGGAGAUGGUUACCAGUGAGGCCACAGGGCUGACUGGGUGGUGGAUGUCACAGAUCACAAUGGGCUCCACCUCAUUUUCUCCUAAGCCUGAGCCAGUCUCUCAUUUCAGAGAAGUCUGUCCAUUAACUCUCAGGGCUGGAGAGUACAAUUAUGUGUGCUUGUGUAGCUUGAAGCUUUCUAACCAGCCCAAGUAAGUGGUUUUCACCUUUUCAUCCAGUCACUUCCUGUAAGAAAGGACACAUCCGUUCUCUUUGAGUACAGAUCUCACAAAUGAGUACAAACCUUGCACAUGCCAGCACUGGCUUUCUUCUGUCCUCAUUCCUGGAGGAGAAUCUCCUGGCCUGCACGUACCUUUGGCUCACCAAAAUCAUAUUUGAAUGAAGAAAAUCUUCCUUCAGGAGAAGGAGCUGUUGUUGGAUGGACUUCAACUUUGAACUUGAUGUGGAGGAGAGCAGGAAUGCUGUCAAUGCUAGGCAUCAGUCUUUCUGUUGCAGACUCCAGGCAUUAUUGGUUUGGGCCCAGUUCCCCCAAGUUCUUUGCAAAGUGGCUCUUCUGAGGUGACCCUCUGGGCAGGUGCCUUGCUCUGCCACCCUUCCUCUUUGGCUGGAUGGCUCCUUGCAUGUCCCAGCCAACCAAGCCUGCCAUGCAAAGCUGCCCUCUCCAGCCCUGUGCACAGAGCCCCGUGUGAACAACAGGCUCUGAGCGUGCUGUCUCACAGCCUCCAGUGCAAAGGUGGCCCCAGAGCACUUCCCAUGGAUUUCCCACCCACAGGUGCCACCACCCUUCUGGAAGGAAGCAGUCAGCCUUGUUUUGAGCAGCUGCCUUGCAAAUGCAUCCUCUCUAGCCCGCAGCUGCCUGACCCAGGACAAAGCAACCUGCGGCCUCAAGGAGUGAAACACAGCAUUGAAAACUGAAAGUGGUGCACACAGAGCAAGUGAUGCUCUCCACUGACUCCUAUGUCAAUCACCUUUCUGCUUAUCAGUCUUUGUCAGGAACAGGAACGAUCUCUAUAGUUUCUUUUCCUGCCUGGUGCUGCCUUUGCAUCUGCUGCAGAGCAGAAAUUCAAGGAGAUGGAUGGAGACCUCGGUCUGCUUGAUGGAAAUACCUCUACUGUUUUCAGGUUGGGUAAAGGUCUUUCAUUAACAAAUCCUACCUGCUGACCCCAAAGCAUGUGAGAUCCUCUCAGAGACUGUGCCAGCAUUCCUUGUACUUUUGUGUUGCUUCAAACAGGAAACAAUGCUCUUGGAAAAGCUUCUAGCAGCUCCGGAACAGCUCCCUGCAAACUCAGUGAGCUAGUGGCAUUGCAGAGCUCGGAAGUGCUCUUUCCACAUGUGCUACCUCUUGGAAGUCAAGGAGAGAUUCCUAGGGCCGGGAAGAGAGAGUGUAUGCCACCAUGUGGCAGCAGAUUCCCAAGUGUGGAGCUCAGGAGAGCUUCAGGCAGGCCCAGCUCAUAGCUCAGGCUGGAGGAGGGCCUGGCCCUCGUAGGCAGAACUUCAGCAAGGAGUUGUGACCUUCUGUGCAUGGACAGGGAGGUGCUGUACAGGCACCCUGUCCCAUCUCCAAAGGCACCAGCCACCCUCUCCAUGAAGGUAAGAUUUAUUCUGCAAUUGAGCAGCCCUGGAAUUUACCGUGGAAGACAAUAUUCAUCUGAGAAUUGUAUUCCAGCACCAAAGACCCAUUAUUCACAGUGACAGCCUGCAGAGCUGAAAAUAAACAAAGAACAAAGUCAAAUCAAGUAGCUUUGGACAGAAACCACCCUGCCUCAAGGCAGAAGGCAACUUCUAAGCAAGAGAGACAACUUCUGAGGAAGAAAAUCUUUUGGAAGCACAUUAUCCCAUAUUCCACUGAUGCAAAGCUUCUUGCUUUUCUCUCAGAGGCAACCAAAAACCAGCCUGCCAGAAAACUUUGGGCGAGAUGAGGCUUAAUUUGAUCCAGGCUGUUCUUAUCUCCUAUAUUUUCAUUCCAAAAAAAAAAAAAAAAAAAAAGAAAAAAAAAGAAAGAUGAAAAAUUUUCUCAUCUUUAAGACUCUGCAUUGUUUGUAGCCUGAAUUUAUGCUGCAAUGAGGACUUUGAGUUGUCACUCAUAUCAACAGGCUCCUAACUCUAAACUCAGCAAUGGCCACUCAAGCCUUAGCUUCCCUCACUAUUGCAGGCUGCCUGAGGAUCUGUUGAUCCCCUAGGCUCUGUACUGCCCUCCUAGACAGCAAAAUGCCUAUUUCUGCUAUUUCUGCCUCCUCAACAGCUCUUCCAGGGUGUUGCACAGUAACUGCUAAUCUGUAUUCUAUAAAUACAGCACUGUCAGCUUAAAACACAUUUUAGUAUAGAGAGGAGUAGCAUGGGGACAGCUACCUAGUUGGGUUACUUGGGUAUCUCAUUCUCUUAGUGCUACACUGUAAUUUCAAGGUGGGAAUGAAGCUAUUGACAAGUCUGUGGUCUUUUGUCGUAGACAUCCAGGCAGUCCAAAGGGCCCUGUUCCAAAAAACUCGGAGUAAACUUGUCCUGAGCAUCUGGACCCAAGCAAGCUACUGCUAUAUUAAGGUUUAUUUUGGUUGCUGGGCCCUGAUCGCCCCAGGUGUUUUCCAAAAUCCCCUAUUCUUUGCUUUUCAGAGGAAAUGUGUCUAAGAGGCUAGACCAUGCUGGCAGACCUCCAAGGCCUUGUGCUGAUUUGCCCUGGUGGAGACUCCAACCCGUAGUUGCUGUCUGGGAAAACCAGAUCCGUGUGUCCUUGAGAAGAGCACACAGAAGAUCAGAGUGUGGACUGGGGGAAAAUGGACCAGAUCGACCCCUUCUGCUUCCCUCUGUGCUUGUGCAGGGUAGAGCAAAGCAUUGACUCAGGAGGCAGGGUGAGCCUGUGGAAAUCAGGUGCAGCACAGAGGAGGAGGCAGAGGAGGAGGAGGAAGAGGAGGAGGAAGGACAUGAGGUCUUCAGUAUCGGAUGGAAAUGUGGAGCCUCAAAGGUCAUCCAGUUGGGCUCACACUCCAGCUCACACUGGAUGGAGAAACAGGCCUUCAUACACAGCAACAAACACUCAAAACAAAUUAAAAAGCACUUAAAAAUAUAGUCCUGCCUGGCUGCUCCAGAUGAGUUUUGUAGUGAAUCUGAAGGUGCCUUUUUCCUGGAGUCCUGUGCUCCCAUUAUGGUGCCCACGUGCUGCAUGGGAUCAGGGCUUGGUACUGUGGGUCACCAGAGAGAGUCACCUUAAUCAGCUUAAACCACAGCUUGACUCAGGCCUCAAACUGUGCCACCCAUCCCAAGGGAAGGUCUCUGAAACAGAGAGUGACCGCCCUGAAAAUUCCUCCUGUGGUCACUUUUGUAAAGUCCUGCUCAUCUUGGAGAGGGACGGGGAAAGAAGUUAGUGGCAUUCUGUCUCUAAAAAGCAGAAUGUUUCUGCUGUGAUUCAUUUUGUCUGGGGAUUUGGCCUGUUUUGCUAAUUUGUGGGAAGCCAAUUCAGCAGACUUGGUAACCAGUUGUUUGCUGAUGCCACCUUUGGGAUGGAAGGCUGUGCCUUCCACCUGGGAGAUGUGGGGGAUACUAUUGCCAACACAGAUUGGGGCACAGUGUCAUUUCCUCCAUAAUGUCCUUGGAGAUGUGUAGAGAUGGGCCUCUUGUGUCUGUGGAGCUAGACUGGCCACUUUUUUUACUUCUUCUUUGAAAGAGCAAUAAACACCUUUGGACCGCCCCAUGGAGGACUGAAUUGUAGCACACUGUCCUCAAUUUGCCUUCUGCUCCCACUGCCUGUUGUCUUUGCUCCUUUGUGGCAUGUGUGAGGAUGGAUAUGUCUGUCCCAAGAAAUUGUCUGCAGUCAUUUUGCAGUCCCUUUGACAUCUGACAGACCACUUGUGGCCCACAGACCACAGGCUGAGAAACUAUGUGUGGGGUGAUGUCUACUGAGUUGCCUCCCAGGACUCAGGUUCUUUCAAACACAUAAAAAGAAGCAGUUUCUGUCCUGGAAAAGACAUUGCCUUGGGCAGACAAGCAUGGGGGAGUCAAGGACAGGGACACCCCAACCACCCAGCUGGUCCUCCAGCCCAGAGACCUGACUCUCACAGAGUUACUGUCUGAGCAGCCCAGGUGAAGAUUUAGGGGGUCCCACUUGCAGCUGUGCUGUGACAUGAGAUGGGGAUGCUGGCAAAGGGCAGGCAGGUAGGGAGGCACAGUGUGGGUCUGUGGUGGGAGGGAGCAGAGGGGGAGGAGGGAGCUCCGCCAGCCCCACCACACUCCAGCAAUCAAAGCCCAGCCUCUGUAAUUAAUACUAUUUAGCUCAGGUUAGUAGCAGAGGAAAAUGUCUCUUGUCAGCCUGGCUUUGCCCACUGGACCUGAUUUAGCAACAUGAAAGCAUUUUUUCUGAUUAACUGUUCACUGAAGGAGAUAAAAGAGAUGACCAUGAAAUGUUUUCUUUAAUGUGAUGAAUGUAAAGGGACUGGUAGAGCUGGAAAGGGUGAGAGGAGAGAAGAGAGAAUGCUCCGACAGCAGAUGGGGCUGGGGUGGGAAAAGGGUGUAGGGCAGAGCUGGGGGGCUGGGAUGGAGGGGGCUGUGAGGCAGGGGCAGAACUGGGGGGUGUCCAGGACUGGGCUGGCAGGGGCCCCAGGAUGGGAAUGGGUGGAUAACCAGGAGGCAGGAGUGGAGGCAGUAGUAACCGAAAUAUUUCUGAAAGGAGAGCUAUGGUAGCAACUGUAACUGUUACAGAUGUAUAUAUAGAUAGAUAUGUAUAUAUGCAUGAGGGUUUCUAAGGCUUUUAUGAAGUUGCAGUCUGAAUGCCAAAUUUCACUGCUCAUCUCUACUACUAAGCUAAAAAAAUGUUGGUAGCUAGGAAACAAAGUGAAGUAGUAAAGCUCGAUUUCUAACAUGAUGUGGUUAGGAUAUUUUGGGGAACAGUGAUGCUGCUCCUACUUUGUAAAACCAUAGCAGGGGGUUGAAAAGCUAUAUUUAAAAGCUAAACACAGUUCCCUACCAUUCUUUGAAAGAGAUUUCACUGUCAUGUAGUCCAAACUGGCCUUCGAUGGCAUUCAAUGUGCUUUUUAACUAUGUGCUGUUGACGGCUUACAUUUUAAACUUUUCUCAAGAUGGAUGGAAGAAUGAAGUUGGUCUGACCCACUUAAGAUUAGUUUCUGGUUUCUGUGUGUUGGGUGGGAAUAGGGUGGGUACUUGCCAGAAUGAAAAAAUACUAAUUUGGAAGAGAGAGGGAGAAAAUACAAAGAGCACCCCCAGUCAAGUUAGUUUUUGCAGAAAAAGAUUUUGCCCUGAUGUUUUUUAUGUAUUUCAGGAUAGAAAGGGAGAGUGUGUAAAAUAAGAUGAUUUCAACUGAGAGGUUCUUAUUGAAAGGUAAUUGUGCACAAGGUAGAGGAUGAAAGUCCUUAUAGAUAAGUACCCAGUCACAAAACCUGAUGUGUCUUGUGCAAGCUGAUGGUGCAAAAGGGGAUGUAACUUUACAGGCAAGCCAGCAAUCAUUAUCUCCCCAGGAUGUGCAGUGAGGGGCUCAGACAUGCACAAAGGCAUCGGCCGUGUUCCACAUUAGGUUGGCUGCUCCGUAAGCAGAUCGGAUGUCCUCACACCAAGCUCCCCUUUUGAGUCAGCUCAGCUCCUCUCCCAGAGGUCAGAGGAGACACAGGAAAGGUCCCUGAGCAGGCAAUGGAAACACUGAAAGGGAGGUGAGGCUUGAAUGCAGAUAAGAGGAGUGAAAACUAAUUGAUCUGAAAAAGCACUGUCAUUGUGGGGUAUAAAAUAAUGACUGGGAAGUCCCUUUCAUUUACUGAGAGGCAAUAAUAGCAGAGGGCAGAUGAUAACACUGAAAGGGUGACAUUUUAGGGCUCUUUAAUCUAGGAGACAGAGGCAUAACAAGCAACAGGGGUUGCAGUUUCAAGCCUGGCAAAUGUAAAUAAGAAAUGAGGCAUGUUGCACAGGGGGUGCUGACACACAUUGAAACAGAGCAUGUGUGGAGGUUGUGUGGGGCUCACCAUCUCUUAAUGGCUUGGUGUCCAGACAGGCUGAUUUUCUGGGAGAUAAAGUUACUGAGCUCAACUGCAGUGAUGGCUGAAAUUCAGUGGCCGAGCAUUAGUCAGGGUAAGAAUUUCUGCCUUUUCUUCAUUCAGACCGAGACUUGACUGAAAAAUACCAUACUCACCCAAGCACCUCUCCCACUGGGACUGUCCCCGAGUGGGGUGAGUACAGUCACCUUCUUAAGGGGCUGUGAUGUUUGCAUGGCCAAGAAAAGUGUGCAGGCCUUUACUGCCUGGGGGAAAGCGGGAUUAGUCUGUGUGGAAGCAGCUGCAGGCAGUGGUCUUUGAGUGGAAGCCUGAGACCAGGAGGAGUCAAUGGCCAGGAGGAGUCAUUGUCUGCAGGAAAAUGCCCACUGCCACACACAUGGACCUGGGACAGCCACUCUGAGAUGGGUGAUCCCUCCGACAGCUGUGCUGACAGCCUGCCUUUGUGCAAAGACAAAAUGCUUGAGCCUCUGCACCCCAUAUGUGCUCCCACCAGCUUGUGCCAGGUCUGCUCAGAGACACCAUCCCCACUCCCUGGGAAGCCCUUCUGUGAAGGCUCUGCAAACAUUUCAGGACAAUCCUCUGCAUCCUUUCUUUACCCCGCUCAGAAGUGUUUCCAAGGCUCAUCCAUAGCAUCCAAGUGCAUGUUUCCCUCAGACCUUUCAGGAUCUCCUCCUGUUGUGUGCCCCUAGGGCUCUGCCACCACCCUCCAUGUGGUGCCCUAUCUAACCAUGCCUCCUGGUCCCCAAAUCUCCAUUUCUGUGAAAUCCCUAAGCCCCCUGUAGGCUCAGCUAAUGUGCUGUGAUCCAUUCUGCUAAUCUGCAAGCAUCUGCCCAGGCUGCCAGCACAUCCCAAGGUUUUGGGGUAAGGGAAGUCCAUGCCAAAACCCCUACCUUGCCUCUGGCAUGCAGAGUGGGUCAAGUAGUGCACAGGAGGUAAAAAAACACCUGCCAGUGAUGACUAAAUAAAAAUGUUUUCCCAGAAAGUGGCAAAUCUCUCAGCCCGGAGUCCAUCAUUGUAAAUAAUUUUUGUUUUAAAAGCAAACAAACAAAUUGGUGGAAGUCUCCCGGCAGCAGGUGCUGGCUCCGUGUGAAAUCCAGCCUUGCAGCCCAUGGUUCGCAGUUGUCUGUUUAUUCUAUCUGCUAUUUAUAGCUGGUCAAACCUUUCCAUCCUGCCUCGUGUUUCCUACUUGCUCUAUCUUAUUAAUUAAUGUAUUUACUGUCAAUAUUUUAAUAAAACAAACAAAAAAUUAAUGAAAAAUAUUGCCUGUGGCCAGGGUGCUGCUGGCUUGAGGUGUUUGAGAGGACACAGGCCAGCUGGGGAAGCCUGUGCUGUGAUGGAUGUUGGAGAAAUGCUGAGAUGGGAAAAGAGGUGGUGUACAUCUAAAGCAUGGCACAGAGCUCAAGUGUGACAGGACUGGUCUGUCUUCCUGCUGUGAACCGCAGCAUUUUCACUGGCUUGGUCUGCACCACCCCUCAUUUUGUGCCAGCUGUGGCUGUUGUCCCUGGUCCCAGCUAGGGCAGCCCCUGUUCCAGCUGGGGGUCCCUGGCUAGAAGGCAUGACAGAUGUGGGGAAAUGACUGUUGUGUGGGUCCAAGGGGAAGCUGUUUAACAAAGAGACUGGCUGGCCGUGGUUAUGGAGAAGUUUGGCUGGGACACAGAUGUUGCAGGCGAUUGCAGGCUGGUGGCUGCGGCUGCGUGGUGAAGGUAGACAGUGAUCCACAGCUGAAACCACUCUGGAAACCUGUGACAGAGGAGCAUCCUGAAAUCUUUGGGAUAGGUGACAUCAACCAACAUGGAAUAAUGAAAUGAACAAGCAGUGAACAAAAAAAAAAAAACCCACCACAUGCCACUGAGCCUCACUUCAUCAUCCACUCUUUUGCAGAUGUCCUUUGUCCUGCUGCUACACGAGCCAUGACUGCAGCCACC